This is a long non-coding RNA of Ruditapes philippinarum (Manila clam), 3005 nucleotides long. RefSeq lists it as uncharacterized. The transcript is spliced from 2 exons. The record is from RefSeq and is a predicted model, not a curated record. Lineage: Eukaryota; Metazoa; Mollusca; Bivalvia; Venerida; Veneridae.
UCAAGUUUUACGUUGUGUUUCGUGGAAUAAAGUCCAUUUGUUAAAAAGGUAGCACUAUUUGAUCAUUGUUAAUACAUUUAAAGUAAGAACAGUUCAUGAUUUAUAGAAUUAUAUAUGCACAUGUUGAUUUCUGUUGAAAGUAUAACGUAAAUUGUCAUGUCAUUUGAAAUGUCCAAAAUUUGUAAGGGAGGUAUUCCAUUACAAUAUCUUUUUCCUAUUUAACACAUCUAGAAAUCAGACCUUUUAGCGUAAUGAAAUUGUCAAUAUAUUUAGAGGCUCUAAAAAUGCACACAAUAAUGCAAAUUGGAAUCAGGUGAACAUUACAUUAUAUUAACAACAUUCAUCGUUUAAAGGUACAUUAUGCCUCAGAAACGAAUACAAAUUUUCCUUUCACAUGAGUUUUAUAACGUUUUAAAAGAGUUUUAGGGCAUGUUAUGUGCUUAUUGCCUGAAGCAAAUGACGCUGAACUUGAAAUUAUUUGUCAUAAAAAUAGCAAAACGUAAACAAAGUAGUUUGACUUCCAUACGAAGUACUAAGUCUCUAUAACUGUACUUUUUCCAAACAGCAAGAAAAGCAAAAGAUGGUUCAAGUGUUUAGCCCAGAAGUAAUAUUUUGGAAACUUAAUAUUAACAGAACAUGAAAAAUAGAAAGUUUUGAGAAACAAUUAUAAAAGCUUUUUUAGAACAUAAUGGGCCUUUAACAUAAUUCUCUUUGUACAAAAGCGCAUUAAUAACCACUAAUUGCUUACACAUUUUAAUGGCAUAUAAAUACUAUAUAUAUACUUGAAAUGAGAGAAUAUCCUAUCAGUGUAGAAUGUGUUUGGAGCAACAACUGAAAUCUCUAGCUGGGUAAUUUGAAUGCGUUUGUUUUACCCAGAAACACAAACUUAGUUAUAACAAUUUGGCUCGAACCUUUGUGAAAUAUACAAUUAUUCUGUGUAAGAAGUGAUAACUACGUUGUUGGACAAAAUGAGUUCAGAAUCGUUCAAUCUGGCAAACUGCAAAUAAAAAAUCGUGCAAUCUGGCAAAAACAAACUGCAAUAAAAAAAUCAUACAAUUUGGCAAAAGAAACUGCGAUCAAGAAAAAUCGUGUAAUUUGGCAAAAGAAACUGCAAUCAAGAAAUCGUGCAAUCUGGCAAAAAACUACAACCAAGAAUCGUGCAAUAUGGCAAAAACAAACUGCAUACAAGAAGUGUUCCUUUUGGCAAAAUAACUUUUUAUAAGAGUACAGUUUGGCAGAAAAAAAUAUCAAGCAAGAAAUAUUCAGUCUAAAAACAAUACAACUGUUAAGGCAAUGAAAAAUAACAAGCAAGCUUAAAACGAAAACCAUAUGUUGAUAUAAACGCAGCUUCAAUGAUAAGUCAAGACCAAGUCUUAGUUGACAAUUAACGAGGAGCCUUAUUACCAUAGAGACAAGAAAAUAAUGUACUUUUCUUAACAUAUAGCUGGAAUAUAUAAUAAAGUGACUUAUUGAGAGUGUCAAUUAAUUGUUAACAUCCAUAAGAAAUUACACAAUUUCCAUUCUGAGUGAUUGAUAAAUGAUUAAUUAAUUAAAUUAUUUCGUAUCAUAAGCAAGUGAUUUUUCCGUUAAUUUUUUAUUAAAACAGAAAUGUGUAAAGGAUAAAAUAGAAUGAUUUUUAUUUUUUGUUUGUAUUUUCUCUACAGUUUCUAAUAUUUUUUAUAUACAAGUAAAGGGUAGACAACAAACAUUAAAAUGCAUUAAACUUGUUGAAAGUCUAUUUUUGAUUUGCAAAAUGAACACUAUAAACCCGAUCAAUAAUAAGUCAAAUACAACAGAUAUCAAUGAUACAUACUUGGGUGAAAUAAUUUAUACAUACUGGGAUAUUAAAGAUGUAUAUGAUAGCAAUACAUACAUGAAUGAUAGCAAUACAGACAUGAAUGUCACAAAUUUUAGAUACUCGAAUGACUUUACUAUAUUUAAAAAAAAAAAUAGGGGUAUCAUUGCAUUACAUUGAAAUAUGUUUAUUUGUUAUAGGACUUUUAGGAAAUUUAAUCUCACUUAUUGUGUGGGUGAGAGGAAAAAACACAAGAAAACUUGCGUGUGCAACAUACUUUAUAUAUUUGUCCACCUCUGAUGGUCUUUGUUUGCUGUUUAAAAUAUUUUAUAAUUUGACCACAAUGCAUUUUGUCUUUGGAGGAAUAUGUAUACCUUUUUUAACAACUGCCUACUUGUUUCCUCAACUUUCCUCCUGGAUCAUUGUUUGUAUUUGUGCUGAAAGAAUGUUGAGUAUUUGUUUCCCUUUAAAAUUCAAUACAAAGGGGGCUGGAAGGAGAGCACAUUUUUGCUUUAUUUCGCUUUUGAUUUUACUUGUAGGAAUUAACCUGACAAAUGCAGUUUUAUUGUGUAAAGGCAUCUUCUCUAACUAUUCAAUUGAACACAAUAAAAUGGGAGAACUAUCUGUAAUAUAUGUACUCUGUGUCUUUCCUCUGUCAUUCAUUACAAUAUGUAACGUUGUUACUUUUUCAAUUCUUUACAAAAGGAAAUCAUCAGCUGUAACCAGUCGCAGACGACAUUUGACAAAAUUCACGCGCUUAAGUAUAGCUGCGGGAAUCUUCCAUUGUGUUUGUGUUGUCCCGAUCAUGGUUGCUAAGCUCAUCGAGUAUAGGUAUAUUGAAAACAUGUUGACUGAAUAUCAAACUAUUAUUAUUAAUAAGCUUGCAGAAACGUUUCUAUACAUAAAUAACGCUUUUAGUUUUAUACUCUACUCAGUGUCAUCAAAAGGUUUCCAGCAAGAUAGUAAACAACUGCUUUGUAAGUUUAGGCAAAGAGAGUAAGAAAGAACAAAGAACAAUGGUCAGUUUCAGCUUCAUCACAAAUAAUAUUUAAAAUCAGUCUAAGAAGAGGAAAAAUUAAAAUUACCAGUUUUCCUCUUGGGCUGAUCGAUUUGGCUUUUGGUCAAUGUAUCAUUUUCAGGAUUUCUUUCAUAAAAAAUGUCUAGUUUUCUUGUAAACAUAUAUUUCUUUUCUAAUUCUCUUCGGCAUUAU